UACAGAGGUCCCGAGCGUUGUUCGGAUUCAUUGGGCGUAAAGGGUGCGUAGGUGGCAUGGUAAGUUGAAGGUGAAAUCUCGGAGCUCAACUCCGAAACUGCCUUCAAUACUGCUGUGCUUGAGGACUGUAGAGGAGAAUGGAAUUCACGGUGUAGCAGUGAAAUGCGUAGAUAUCGUGAGGAAGACCAGUGGCGAAGGCGAUUCUCUGGGCAGUUCCUGACACUGAGGCACGAAGGCUAGGGGAGCAAACGGG
RNAcentral lists this ribosomal RNA (253 nucleotides) under uncultured bacterium. Its description in RNAcentral is "partial 16S ribosomal RNA". It matches the Rfam family "Bacterial small subunit ribosomal RNA", at positions 524 to 776 of the family's 1533-position model. The record is from RNAcentral.